Molecule: long non-coding RNA, 987 nt
Filed under: Equus caballus (horse)
Lineage: Eukaryota; Metazoa; Chordata; Mammalia; Perissodactyla; Equidae
Description: lncRNA (ENSECAG00000029949.3)
Source: RNAcentral
AGGAGGACCGUAGAGGUUUACUGAUAGGGAGUCAGAAGGAAAGAGGGAGCCGGGCUUUGUCAAGGCUUGCUUUUGAGGACUACAAAGAGGAGGGAGCACAUGGAAAUUGAAGUCCGUGGUUGCUAAUCUAGACGAGGUCAGAUUUAUAAAGGGAACUCGCUUCUCCUUGUAGUUUAUCAACCCUUUCAACAUCCUUCCACGCCAACAACGUGCAAUUACUGGUGUUUCACAGACAGGCUCUCUUUCUAGCAGUCGGGAGCGUGGAAACAACCGAGACAGUGACCCAAGGACCAGGCUUGAGUCCUUAGAGAAAGGAGCUGAGAGAGAAUUUGAGAAAGACUGUGAUCACCAAGGACUUUGGAAGGACUUUGGAAAAGAAGGACCUCUGCAUCAGGACCCAGAAAACAAAAUGUACCACCCAGUGAGGGGAGGAGCAUUCUCCCCACUUCUGCAGGGGAGACAGUCCACAGUGCAUGUAUUGGGGUUAAAUAAAAUCCCACAUAGCUCUACAGGGUGAACCUUACUUCAUCAUCUGAUCUGCUCCUUGAAAGUAAAGAAGAUAAGAAUGGAAAAGUAAAAUAUAUCUAUGAGUCAUAAAAAAAUAAUUCUUUCAGUCUGGGUAGUUUGAGAAAGCACUAAAGAAAGAUUAGAGAAUGAAUUCAGAUAAGAAGCAAUUUCAUAAUCUCUCUGAAGGUUAUUAUCCUGGUUUCAUUUGCUAUACCAGGAAUGUUGGUCCCUGGAGAAAAAUGCCAAACAAGUAUAACAAGUAUCAACUGAGAACACUCUGACUGGGAAGAAUGCUAUUUGUCUUUCACAAUGAGGACUUGAGAAGAGUAAUAGCCAUUGGUGAACUCCCAGGAGUGAAGGUAAGAGCCGCUUCACUUUCUGCCUUAAUCUCCCAGGAGCACAGGAAAUGCCGUAUGCAAGUCACUUUCCCAUUUGAUGGACCGCCAGUUCUUGGUUUAUAAACUGCAUCAAAGAAUUGCC